GUGUUCACUUCGUCAGCACAGAUACUAAAAUUGGAAUGAUACAGAGAAGAUUAGCAUGACCUCUGUGCAAGGAUGACGCACAAAUUCGUGAAGCAUUCCAUAUUUUU
Molecule: small nuclear RNA, 107 nt
Organism: Saimiri boliviensis boliviensis (Bolivian squirrel monkey)
Lineage: Eukaryota; Metazoa; Chordata; Mammalia; Primates; Cebidae
Source: Ensembl